AUUGAACGCUGGCGGCAGGCUUAACACAUGCAAGUCGAGCGGGCGAGGUUGCUUCGGUAACUGAGCUAGCGGCGGACGGGUGAGUAAUGCUUAGGAAUCUGCCUAUUAGUGGGGGACAACAUUCCGAAAGGAAUGCUAAUACCGCAUACGCCCUACGGGGGAAAGCAGGGGCUCUUAGGACAUUGCGCUAAUAGUAGAGCCUAAGUCAGAUUAGCUAGUUGGUGGGGUAAAGGCAUACCAAGGCGACGAUCUGUAGCGGGUCUGAGGGGAUGAUCCGCCACACUGGGACUGAGACACGGCCCAGACUCCUACGGGAGGCAGCAGUGGGGAAUAUUGGACAAUGGGCGGAAGCCUGAUCCAGCCAUGCCGCGUGUGUGAAGAAGGCCUUUUGGUUGUAAAGCACUUUAAGCGAGGAGGAGGCUACUUGGAUUAAUACUCUAGGAUAGUGGACGUUACUCGCAGAAUAAGCACCGGCUAACUCUGUGCCAGCCGCCGCGGUAA
RNAcentral lists this ribosomal RNA (501 nucleotides) under uncultured bacterium. RNAcentral describes it as "partial 16S ribosomal RNA". It matches the Rfam family "Bacterial small subunit ribosomal RNA", at positions 30 to 523 of the family's 1533-position model. The record is from RNAcentral.